CGCUGACGAGUGGCGGACGGGUGAGUAAUGUCUGGGAAACUGCCUGAUGGAGGGGGAUAACUACUGGAAACGGUGGCUAAUACCGCAUAACGUCGCAAGACCAAAGAGGGGGACCUUCGGGCCUCUUGCCAUCAGAUGUGCCCAGAUGGGAUUAGCUUGUUGGUGAGGUAACGGCUCACCAAGGCGACGAUCCCUAGCUGGUCUGAGAGGAUGACCAGCCACACUGGAACUGAGACACGGUCCAGACUCCUACGGGAGGCAGCAGUGGGGAAUAUUGCACAAUGGGCGCAAGCCUGAUGCAGCCAUGCCGCGUGUAUGAAGAAGGCCUUCGGGUUGUAAAGUACUUUCAGCGGGGAGGAAGGUGUUGUGGUUAAUAACCGCAGCAAUUGACGUUACCCGCAGAAGAAGCACCGGCUAACUCCGUGCCAGCAGCCGCGGUAAUACGGAGGGUGCAAGCGUUAAUCGGAAUUACUGGGCGUAAAGCGCACGCAGGCGGUCUGUCAAGUCGG
Molecule: ribosomal RNA, 509 nt
Filed under: Salmonella enterica subsp. diarizonae
Lineage: Bacteria; Pseudomonadati; Pseudomonadota; Gammaproteobacteria; Enterobacterales; Enterobacteriaceae
Description: bacterial SSU rRNA
Rfam family: Bacterial small subunit ribosomal RNA
Source: RNAcentral